UACACGAUGAGAGAGAGGUUUUCUGAAUUGAUAGAAGGCGAGAGAAAUGUGAGAGAGAUUAAGAAAAAGUGUUUGGGUUAAAGCUACUCUAUGUAGAAGGGUAGUCACGUAUAAUUUUUCUUUUGGUUAAUAAUGAAUUUUAUUUCACCUGUAUUUUUUGUUUGAUUCUUUUUUUUUUUUUAUAUGAUUGUGCCGGUUUUUGCUGAGAAGGUAGGCUUAUGGUAAAAUCUAAUUUUAUGUUUCUAUUGCGAAAUCCUAACAAUCGAUACCGAAGCGAGUACCAGGUCGACAAUAGUCGACAUCAGAGCGAAUAGCAGAAUCUCAAAAUCUGGUAUCAAAGCGAGUACU
Molecule: long non-coding RNA, 348 nt
Filed under: Ananas comosus (pineapple)
Lineage: Eukaryota; Viridiplantae; Streptophyta; Magnoliopsida; Poales; Bromeliaceae
Description: long non-coding RNA (ACOM_LNC014654)
Source: RNAcentral